CGGCAUGCCUAAUACAUGCAAGUCGAACGAGCUUCCGUUGAAUGACGUGCUUGCACUGAUUUCAACAAUGAAGCGAGUGGCGAACUGGUGAGUAACACGUGGGAAAUCUGCCCAGAAGCAGGGGAUAACACUUGGAAACAGGUGCUAAUACCGUAUAACAACAAAAUCCGCAUGGAUUUUGUUUGAAAGGUGGCUUCGGCUAUCACUUCUGGAUGAUCCCGCGGCGUAUUAGUUAGUUGGUGAGGUAAAGGCCCACCAAGACGAUGAUACGUAGCCGACCUGAGAGGGUAAUCGGCCACAUUGGGACUGAGACACGGCCCAAACUCCUACGGGAGGCAGCAGUAGGGAAUCUUCCACAAUGGACGAAAGUCUGAUGGAGCAAUGCCGCGUGAGUGAAGAAGGGUUUCGGCUCGUAAAACUCUGUUGUUAAAGAAGAACACCUUUGAGAGUAACUGUUCAAG
RNAcentral lists this ribosomal RNA (461 nucleotides) under Levilactobacillus brevis. RNAcentral's name for it is "bacterial SSU rRNA". It matches the Rfam family "Bacterial small subunit ribosomal RNA", at positions 40 to 467 of the family's 1533-position model. The record is from RNAcentral. Lineage: Bacteria; Bacillati; Bacillota; Bacilli; Lactobacillales; Lactobacillaceae.